CACAAAUUUUCCUGCUGAAAUUUGUUUUGCGAUGACUGUUAUUUAUGCAUAUGCAAUCCUUUUACGGCGAUUAGGUAUGAUAAGGAUCAGAUAGCGCAGAAGGAAUAUGGGAUGAUUUGAUUGCUGCGAAGCAAUGCACAGAGUAGGUGGUAAUGCCUUUUCAAAAGAGCAGCUGCUGGAACUCUGCAGCACGAGAACUCUAAGCACGUAGGUCUAACUGGGGCUAUUAUUAAGGAAGAAAUGUGGAGAUGACACUGAAUCUGCAAGAAAUGGAGAUUCUAGCAAAUUUAUUUGUGGAAAAGGCUGUUUCCCCCCCUUGCUUCUGGAGAAUAAAAUCCUCAUUCUACCUCAUCAAUGUGUAUCCUUUGCAUUCAGACUUAUCACAGAGAGGACACAUGCUUCACCGAUGGAAGCUGGUCUCACGGAUGCCAAGCUGCAGAAUGACCAAAAUACCCUCUUCGCGGUCUAUGACAGCAGCCAUGACGACAUACGUGCAUUCAAUAAAACAUCACCAAAUAUAGCCACAGUAAAUGCAGUUCUCUCAUAGAGUUUGUGAAAUCUUAUGCCAACCGCUAUAAAUCAGUGUGAUAUGUAAAACUAAAUUUAAAUAUUGCACACUCUCACUCAUAGAUUCAGCAGAUGUGGAAAUCAUUAAUGACAUUAGUAGUCAUUUGCUUAAUUAUACACCA
Long non-coding RNA from Salvia hispanica, 689 nucleotides. RefSeq lists it as uncharacterized. NCBI's taxonomy places the organism in Eukaryota, Viridiplantae, Streptophyta, Magnoliopsida, Lamiales, Lamiaceae. The record is from RefSeq and is a predicted model, not a curated record.